GCUCCAUGUCAGGUGCAGACACCAGUGAGGACUCUCCAGGAGACACGUGUCCGUGGAGGAGGAGAGGAGCAGUGACCUGGGUUGGAGGUUGGGGAGAGAUCCGGAGGAGGCCUCCCCUGCAGACAGACCUGUGAGCGUGUAUCUUCCCAGCACUGACCAAGGAGAGUUUCAAAGGAAUCUGUCUGUCCCCACACCCUUUCCAGGGAGACAGGAAGGCCACCUCUGAACCGAGCCAGCCUCUGGAGGACCUCACCCUGCAUGGGUCAAGAGUGCCCCCUGGUGGCACUACUGCUCAAGCUGGUCAUUUCAAGAGCAAGCGGUUGAAGGUCUCUCCAAUCAACUGCAGCUCCUGGUGGCCAUGGCCCUACUUCUGAGCAACACAGCACAAACCACCAACCCGCCUCCUAGCAACAAUGAGAAAAUCCAGUAGUCGUCAUGAUCAGUACGGCAUCUCCAGACAUAAGGCAGCCCUGGGCUCACUGCUUCAUUGCUCCUUGUACCAAACAUAUAUUGCCGUAAAAAUACAUGUCAUGGGGUCAUACAUACAUUUCAAUUAACUUCUGCAGCAUAGAAUCCUCUUAGAUAGAAGCUCACUAGAACUCGUGACGAGGGGUGUAGUUUUGGGCAAGGAUUCCGUGUGAACACCUCCAGCACUUGUCACACCUGCUGUCCUGUUUAGCAUAGGAUGGGGUCAGCAAGCUGUAGGGAGACAGGAAUACCACCUGCUGUUGUUGUUUUGUCCUUUGGGGGCCCGCCACCCAGCUCCCAAAUAAUUCACACACACAGAGAACUAUUCUUCACUGUGAAUGUUCGGCCUUUGCUUGGCUUGUUUCUUGCCAGCUUUCCUUAAAUGAUCCCAUCUACCUUUGGCCUCUGGGCUUUUCCCGUUCUCUUACUUCUGUAAAUCUUACUCUUACUCCAUGGCUUGCUGUGUGGCUGUGUGGCUGGCCCCCGGAGGAGUUCUCCUCUUUCUCAGCUACAUCUUCUCUCUCAUUCUUUCUCCACAGAUUUCACACUCUAUGUAUCCUCUCUGCCUUCCAUCCCCACCUAUUUCUCUCUCCUGCCUCACUAUUGGCUGUUUAGUGGCCUCACUCACAGGAGGCUCUCUCCUGCCUCACCAUUUAUUAGACCAUCAGGUGUUUUAGACAGGCACAAUAAUACAGCUUCACAGAGUUAAACAAAUGCAACAUUAAACAAAAGUAACACACCUUAAAAUAAUAUUCUACAACAAUCUGCCUUUUCAGAAAAAGCCUGCCCUUCAGAGUUUGAACCAGCAGCCCUGAAUGUCUGGGUUUAAGCAGUGUCAUGAGUAACACUGCAGAGCUGGUCAGUAAACUGCGCCCUCGGAUCUUAACAUCAUCUCAGCUCUUCCGCAGGGACAGGGCAGCUGGUUCCUGUGUGGCUGGCACUAUGGAGUGCAGGACACUCACGUAAGGAAAGGUCAAGCCAGAAGAAAGAAAACACUGCCUCUCAUCAUGAGCCUAGUCUUCCUGCCUGAAAGCACCCACAGCAGCUCCGUGGAAGAUGGCCUGUACUCCAAAUAACAUACACAGGACUCAAAAGCAGCUGGCCAAGUCCACAGCACCACCACCCAGUAACCCUAGACACGAUUCCUAUUAGCUCAGCCCAGGGAAGAUUCCUCUCCUGCCUCUUCCCCUCCACAGUUCCCACCAUGAUCCACAUGCAGGCUUUCAGGGCCAGCUACCAC
This is a non-coding RNA of Peromyscus maniculatus bairdii (prairie deer mouse), 1708 nucleotides long. NCBI's taxonomy places the organism in Eukaryota, Metazoa, Chordata, Mammalia, Rodentia, Cricetidae. The record is from RefSeq and is a predicted model, not a curated record.